RNAcentral lists this ribosomal RNA (253 nucleotides) under uncultured bacterium. RNAcentral's name for it is "partial 16S ribosomal RNA". It matches the Rfam family "Bacterial small subunit ribosomal RNA", at positions 524 to 776 of the family's 1533-position model. The record is from RNAcentral.
UACGGGGGGGGCAAGCGUUGUUCGGAAUUACUGGGCGUAAAGGGCUCGUAGACGGCCAACUAAGUCAGACGUGAAAUCCCUCGGCUUAACCGGGGAACUGCGUCUGAUACUGGAUGGCUUGAGGUUGGGAGAGGGAUGCGGAAUUCCAGGUGUAGCGGUGAAAUGCGUAGAUAUCUGGAGGAACACCGGUGGCGAAGGCGGCAUCCUGGACCAAUUCUGACGCUGAGGAGCGAAAGCCAGGGGAGCAAACGGG